Molecule: ribosomal RNA, 301 nt
Filed under: uncultured bacterium
Lineage: Bacteria
Description: partial 16S ribosomal RNA
Rfam family: Bacterial small subunit ribosomal RNA
Source: RNAcentral
CAGCCGCCGCGGGAAUACGUAGGUCCCGAGCGUUGUCCGGAUUUAUUGGGUGUAAAGCGAGCGCAGGCGGUUAGAUAAGUCUGAAGUUAAAGGCUGUGGCUUAACCAUAGUACGCUUUGGAAACUGUUUAACUUGAGUGCAAGAGGGGAGAGUGGAAUUCCAUGUGUAGCGGUGAAAUGCGUAGAUAUAUGGAGGAACACCGGUGGCGAAAGCGGCUCUCUGGCUUGUAACUGACGCUGAGGCUCGAAAGCGUGGGGAGCAAACAGGAUCAGAUACCCCGGUAGUCCCUGUCUCUUAUACA